This 314-nucleotide ribosomal RNA is filed under the name uncultured bacterium. Its description in RNAcentral is "bacterial SSU rRNA". It matches the Rfam family "Bacterial small subunit ribosomal RNA", at positions 28 to 334 of the family's 1533-position model. The record is from RNAcentral.
GAUGAACGCUAGCGGCAGGCUUAACACAUGCAAGUCGAGGGGCAGCGGGGAGGAAGCUUGCUACUUAUGCCGGCGACCGGCGGACGGGUGCGUAACGCGUAUGUAACCUACCUUUGACAGGGGGAUAACAUCGAGAAAUUGGUACUAAUACCCCAUAACAUCACCGGAGGCAUCUUCGGUGGUUGAAAACUCAGGUGGUCAGAGAUGGACAUGCGUUGUAUUAGCUAGUUGGUGAGGUAACGGCUCACCAAGGCGACGAUACAUAGGGGGACUGAGAGGUCAACCCCCCACAUUGGUACUGAGACACGGACCAA